This 425-nucleotide ribosomal RNA is filed under the name uncultured bacterium. Its description in RNAcentral is "bacterial SSU rRNA". It matches the Rfam family "Bacterial small subunit ribosomal RNA", at positions 354 to 796 of the family's 1533-position model. The record is from RNAcentral.
GUGGGGAAUCUUGCGCAAUGGGCGAAAGCCUGACGCAGCCAUGCCGCGUGAAUGAUGAAGGUCUUAGGAUUGUAAAAUUCUUUCACCGGGGACGAUAAUGACGGUACCCGGAGAAGAAGCCCCGGCUAACUUCGUGCCAGCAGCCGCGGUAAUACGAAGGGGGCUAGCGUUGCUCGGAAUUACUGGGCGUAAAGGGCGCGUAGGCGGAUCGUUAAGUCAGGGGUGAAAUCCCAGGGCUCAACUCUGGAACUGCCCUUGAUACUGGCGAUCUUGAGUGUGAGAGAGGUAUGUGGAACUCCGAGUGUAGAGGUGAAAUUCGUAGAUAUUCGGAAGAACACCAGUGGCGAAGGCGACAUACUGGCUCAUUACUGACGCUGAGGCGCGAAAGCGUGGGGAGCAAACAGGAUUAGAAACCCGGGUAGUCC